RNAcentral lists this ribosomal RNA (371 nucleotides) under uncultured organism. Its description in RNAcentral is "partial 16S ribosomal RNA". It matches the Rfam family "Bacterial small subunit ribosomal RNA", at positions 527 to 896 of the family's 1533-position model. The record is from RNAcentral.
GUAGGGUGCGAGCGUUAAUCGGGAAUUACUGGGCGUAAAGCGUGCGCAGGCGGUUUUGUAAGACAGGCGUGAAAUCCCCCGAGCUCAACUUGGGAAUGGCGCUUGUGACUGCAAGGCUAGAGUAUGUCAGAGGGGGGUAGAAUUCCACGUGUAGCAGUGAAAUGCGUAGAGAUGUGGAGGAAUACCGAUGGCGAAGGCAGCCCCCUGGGACGUCACUGACGCUCAUGCGCGAAAGCGUGGGGAGCAAACAGGAUUAGAUACCCUGGUAGUCCACGCCCUAAACGAUGUCAACUAGUUGUUGGGGAUUCAUUUCUUCAGUAACGUAGCUAACGCGUGAAGUUGACCGCCUGGGGAGUACGGUCGCAAGAUUA